UGAGGAAUAUUGGUCAAUGGGCGAAAGCCUGAACCAGCCAUGCCGCGUGAAGGAAUAAGGCCCUAUGGGUCGUAAACUUCUUUUGACGGGGAGCAAUAAGGUCUACGUGUAGGCCGAUGAGAGUACUCGUCGAAUAAGCAUCGGCUAACUCCGUGCCAGCAGCCGCGGUAAUACGGAGGAUGCGAGCGUUAUCCGGAAUUAUUGGGUUUAAAGGGUGCGCAGGCGGCGCGAAAAGUCAGCGGUCAAAGUUCCGGGCUCAACCCGGUGACGCCGUUGAAACUUUCGGGCUGGAGUUCGUGCGAGGGAGGCGGAAUGCGUUGUGUAGCGGUGAAAUGCAUAGAUAUGACGCAGAACCCCGAUUGCGAAGGCAGCUUUCCAGCACGCGACUGACGCUGAGGCACGAAAGCGUGGGGAGCGAACAGGAUUAGAUACCCUGGUAGU
RNAcentral lists this ribosomal RNA (441 nucleotides) under uncultured bacterium. RNAcentral describes it as "bacterial SSU rRNA". It matches the Rfam family "Bacterial small subunit ribosomal RNA", at positions 355 to 794 of the family's 1533-position model. The record is from RNAcentral.